UGGGGAAUUGUUCGCAAUGGGCGCAAGCCUGACGACGCAACGCCGCGUGGAGGACGAAGAUCUUCGGGUCGUAAACUCCUGUCGAGCGGGAAGAACACCUUCCGGGCGAAUAGUCCGGACGGUUGACGGUACCGCUAAAGGAAGCCCCGGCUAACUCCGUGCCAGCAGCCGCGGUAAUACGGGGGGGGCAAGCGUUGUUCGGAAUUACUGGGCGUAAAGGGCUCGUAGGCGGCCAACUAAGUCAGACGUGAAAUCCCCAGGCUCAACCUGGGAACUGCGUCUGAUACUGGAUGGCUUGAAUCCGGGAGAGGGAUGCAGAAUUCCAGGUGUAGCGGUGAAAUGCGUAGAUAUCUGGAGGAAUACCGGUGGCGAAGGCGGCAUCCUGGACCGGCAUUGACGCUGAGGAGCGAAAGCCAGGGGAGCAAACGGG
This 430-nucleotide ribosomal RNA is filed under the name uncultured bacterium. Its description in RNAcentral is "bacterial SSU rRNA". It matches the Rfam family "Bacterial small subunit ribosomal RNA", at positions 355 to 776 of the family's 1533-position model. The record is from RNAcentral.